GAUAUGGUGACUUGCGAGAUUGCCAGCAAAAUAAUUAUAUGAUGACAUGGAGUACUUGGCUCUAAGAGUCAAGACAUCUUAGAUGAGGAGUAUUUGGCUCAAGAUAUAAACUGCAAAGUUGGCACAAAGAUCUCGAAUCAUAGAGUAUUCUUGAAAAGAGUCUAUAUCAUGACACAGAGGCACACAUGAGCCUCACGGUUGAUCCUAAAGCAUUGCUUAUGUGGGUACUCGAGAGUGUCGUAUGU
RNAcentral lists this long non-coding RNA (245 nucleotides) under Elaeis guineensis (African oil palm). RNAcentral describes it as "long non-coding RNA (EGUI_LNC026589)". Lineage: Eukaryota; Viridiplantae; Streptophyta; Magnoliopsida; Arecales; Arecaceae. The record is from RNAcentral.